RNAcentral lists this ribosomal RNA (252 nucleotides) under uncultured bacterium. Its description in RNAcentral is "partial small subunit ribosomal RNA". It matches the Rfam family "Bacterial small subunit ribosomal RNA", at positions 26 to 285 of the family's 1533-position model. The record is from RNAcentral.
AGAAUCAACGCUGGCGGCGCGCCUAACACAUGCAAGUCGAACGAGAAAGUGGAGCGAAUCCAUGAGUACAGUGGGCGUACGGGUGAGUAACACGUGGGUAAUCUACCCUUUGGUGGGGGAAUAACUCCUGGGAAACUAGAGCUAAUACCGCAUAAUCCCGAGAGGGAAAAGCGAGCAAUGCGCCGAAGGAGGAGGCCCGCGGCCGAUUAGCUAGUUGGUAGGGUAAUGGCCGUACCAAGGCUGAGAUCGGUA